This 451-nucleotide ribosomal RNA is filed under the name uncultured bacterium. RNAcentral's name for it is "partial 16S ribosomal RNA". It matches the Rfam family "Bacterial small subunit ribosomal RNA", at positions 354 to 796 of the family's 1533-position model. The record is from RNAcentral.
GUGGGGAAUAUUGGACAAUGGGGGGAACCCUGAUCCAGCCAUGCCGCGUGUGUGAAGAAGGCCUUUUGGUUGUAAAGCACUUUAAGCGAGGAGGAGGCUACCGAGAUUAAUACUCUUGGAUAGUGGACGUUACUCGCAGAAUAAGCACCGGCUAACUCUGUGCCAGCAGCCGCGGUAAUACAGAGGGUGCAAGCGUUAAUCGGAUUUACUGGGCGUAAAGCGCGCGUAGGUGGCCAAUUAAGUCAAAUGUGAAAUCCCCGAGCUUAACUUGGGAAUUGCAUUCGAUACUGGUUGGCUAGAGUAUGGGAGAGGAUGGUAGGAUUCCAGGUGUAGCGGUGAAAUGCGUAGAGAUCUGGAGGAAUACCGAUGGCGAAGGCAGCCAUCUGGCCUAAUACUGACACUGAGGUGCGAAAGCAUGGGGAGCAAACAGGAGUAGAAACCCUGGUAGUCC